RNAcentral lists this long non-coding RNA (444 nucleotides) under Physcomitrium patens. RNAcentral's name for it is "long non-coding RNA (PPAT_LNC002078)". Lineage: Eukaryota; Viridiplantae; Streptophyta; Bryopsida; Funariales; Funariaceae. The record is from RNAcentral.
UAAAAAAAUCCUAUACCAAAACCUAAGGAAAUCUUAAUCAAACUCUAAAUCUUAAAAAAACUCUUAAUAAAUCCAAUAGCAAAUUAAAAUCUCAAAAACUAGUGAUGGAAUUUUUAAUAUCAAUUCAUAUUUUGCAUAAUUUUUAAAAUCUUAGUUAGAAACAAACACAAGUAAGAUGACAUUGAUCUCUCUCAUCAAUUAAGAGAAAUGCAAGAUAAUCCAAUCAAGUGUUGAACGACCUCCUAUUCUAAGUAGAUUUCUAAACUUCAAGCACUAAUAUCUCUUUUUUAAACCAUUGAAUUGCUUUAAAAUUUCACCUAAACAUUAGGAAUCAAAUCUUGUAUUCAUAUGAAAAAUUUCACUUCAAUCCAAUCUACUAAUAGCUGAAGAACUUAGAAAAACUUACUAAGCCUCAAGCUCCAAUUUCUAAGAUUUCAAUGCACA